Molecule: ribosomal RNA, 317 nt
Filed under: uncultured bacterium
Lineage: Bacteria
Description: bacterial SSU rRNA
Rfam family: Bacterial small subunit ribosomal RNA
Source: RNAcentral
GACGAACGCUGACGGUGUGCUUUAGGCAUGCAAGUCGAACGAGAAAGCCCUUCGGGGUGAGUAGAGUGGCGAACGGGUGAGUAACACGUGGAUAACCUGUCCCUCGCAGGGGGAUAACCCGGGGGAAACCCCGGCUAAUACCCCGUACGUUUCUCAGGGGGCAUCCCCUGAGAAAGAAAGGUAGCUUCGGCCAUCCGGCGAGGGAGGGGUCCGCGUCCCAUUAGCUAGUUGGUGAGGUGAGGGCUCACCAAGGUGACGANGGGUAGCUGGUCUGAGAGGAUGAUCAGCCACACUGGGACUGAGACACGGCCCAGACU